GGUAAUUUAGUCUUAUAUUCAUGAUCAAUGGAUCACACAACUACUCAUCAGUAUUUAAUAUAUAAGAAGAGUUUAUCUUAUCUCCCCGUCACCCCAACCAAACAAUUUUAAAUUAAACCUCAACUCUCCGUAAAUCUAUUUAUUACCUAUUAUUGUCAAACUCUAUAGGGUCUUCUCGUCCUCCAAUCCUAUUUUAGCCUUCUAACUAAAAAGUUAAGUUUUAACCCAAUCCUUAUGAGACAGUCAACACCUCGGUCCAACCAUUCAUGCCAGCCUCUAAUUAAGAGACUAAUGAUUAUGCUACCUUUGCACGGUCAAAAUACCGCGGCCCUUCAAUUUUUCAGUGGGCAGGCUAGACCUCUUAUACUUUCAAGAAGCG
This 379-nucleotide ribosomal RNA is filed under the name Dipteromimus tipuliformis. Its description in RNAcentral is "partial 16S rRNA". Lineage: Eukaryota; Metazoa; Arthropoda; Insecta; Ephemeroptera; Dipteromimidae. The record is from RNAcentral.